UACAGAGGGGGCAAGCGUUGUUCGGAAUUACUGGGCGUAAAGCGCGCGCAGGCGGUCCUUCAAGUCAGAGGUGAAAGCCCAGGGCUCAACCCUGGAACUGCCUUUGAAACUGGAGGACUUGAGUACGGGAGAGGUGAGUGGAAUUCCGAGUGUAGAGGUGAAAUUCGUAGAUAUUCGGAAGAACACCAGUGGCGAAGGCGGCUCACUGGCCCGUUACUGACGCUCAGGCGCGACAGCGUGGGGAGCAAACAGG
Molecule: ribosomal RNA, 253 nt
Filed under: uncultured bacterium
Lineage: Bacteria
Description: partial 16S ribosomal RNA
Rfam family: Bacterial small subunit ribosomal RNA
Source: RNAcentral